UACGGAGGGUGCAAGCGUUAUCCGGAUUCACUGGGUUUAAAGGGUGCGUAGGUGGGCAGGUAAGUCCGUGGUGAAAUCUCCAAGCUUAACUUGGAAACUGCCGUGGAUACUAUCUGAUCUUGAAUACCGUGGAGGUGAGCGGAAUAUGUCAUGUAGCGGUGAAAUGCUUAGAUAUGACAUAGAACACCAAUUGCGAAGGCAGCUCACUACACGCUUAUUGACACUGAGGCACGAAAGCGUGGGGAUCAAACAGG
RNAcentral lists this ribosomal RNA (254 nucleotides) under uncultured bacterium. RNAcentral's name for it is "partial 16S ribosomal RNA". It matches the Rfam family "Bacterial small subunit ribosomal RNA", at positions 524 to 776 of the family's 1533-position model. The record is from RNAcentral.